RNAcentral lists this long non-coding RNA (1188 nucleotides) under Scleropages formosus (Asian bonytongue). Its description in RNAcentral is "lncRNA (ENSSFOG00015024377.1)". Lineage: Eukaryota; Metazoa; Chordata; Actinopteri; Osteoglossiformes; Osteoglossidae. The record is from RNAcentral.
GCCUUAAGAGGCACGAGCGCUCAGACCCCCCUGUGGCUCACGCUCUCCUCCUUCCACGUUCGCGUUCAGUUCUCUCUCUCUCUCUCUCUCUCUCUCUCUCUUCUUUUCCCGGCUGGCGCCGUCCGCCCCGCGCGCCCCUCAGAACGUCUGCAGCUGCUGUGUCAACAUGAGCUGGCACCCGCUGUUCACGUGAUUCAUCACCUUCUGCUUGAGCUGGGCCACCUGCUCGCGCAGCAUGUUGGCCGUGGACGCGAGCUCCGAGUUCUGGGACUUGAGCGUCUUCACUUUAUCCUCCAGCCUGGAGAUCCUCUCCAGCUUCCUCUUGCGGCACUUGGAGGCGGCCACCCUGUUCCUCAUGCGCUUCCUCUCGGCCUUGAUGCGCUCCUGGGUCUCCAUGUCGAUGGGCGAGAGCGGAGGGGUCUCUCCGGGCAUCUCCGGCACCGUCUGUGGCUCUUCUUUCAGCGCCUGCAGCCGCGGGUGCUGAACGGACAGCUGGCUGCUCAUGUGGUGCUGGGGCUGGGGCUGGGACUGGUGCUGGGACUGGGGCUGGUGCUGGUGCUGGGACUGGGCCACGGAGUAGCUCAGCGUCAGGUUAGCGCUGCUGUAAGUGACGGCCGCCGCCGUGGUCAUGGUCUGGUUGAACGUGGUCAGGUCCGUGUACUCCGGCGGCUCCGAGCGCAUGAUGGUGCAGCUGUACGGCGUGCUCCCGGCCAUGGAGGACGCAGCCGUCAAGUCGCCGGCGAUGCUGCUCGUCUGCGCGGCUGCAGCGACGUUUACUCCGUUGGGCAUGUGCUGAUGGUGCAGCUCGGCGAGCGCCCUCACGAAGCCCUCGGCGAAGCCCUCCUGCUCGUCGGUGACGUUCUUGGGGCACAGGAACUGGGUGGGAGUCGGGGUGGUGGUGAUGAGGCCGUUGCUCGACUGGAUGAUGAGCCUCUCCAGCUCGGGGGAUGCCAGCUUGAGCAGCCCGACGUCGGGAGAUGUGAGGAGGUCGCUGGCCUUGGGUCGCAGGUGCGGCUUCAGCGUGGCGGCGGGGUCGGACAGGUUCAGCGUCAUGUUCUCCUUCAGCGCCUUGCGGCUGUAUCCGUAACCGACAGCGUCGUGCUGAGAGAAGCCCGUGUUCAGAGAGUCAUCGUAGAAAGUCGUUUCCAUCUUGGUAGACAUAGAACAACAAGCAAGCAGAGCUGCUGA